Molecule: small nucleolar RNA, 131 nt
Organism: Acomys russatus (golden spiny mouse)
Lineage: Eukaryota; Metazoa; Chordata; Mammalia; Rodentia; Muridae
Product: small nucleolar RNA SNORA17
Exons: 1
Source: RefSeq, a predicted model, not a curated record
CCUGCCCCUAGAGGUGUUGCAGAUGUGGCUGCUGUGUCACUUGUGCAUCAGUAGGUGACAGAGAGGAGAGAGGCUAUGUCUGUGCUCAGUGUUUUGACCUGUGAGCAUCUGAAUGGCAGUAGCCUAACAUU